This is a long non-coding RNA of Fukomys damarensis (Damara mole-rat), 389 nucleotides long. NCBI's taxonomy places the organism in Eukaryota, Metazoa, Chordata, Mammalia, Rodentia, Bathyergidae. The record is from Ensembl.
UUUCUGUUGGAGUCCUUUAAGCUUACUGAGGUCUAUUUUUAAGAAGAUACACAAAUAAGAACAGGAGCACCACAACUACGCCCUGGAGGAUAUGGAAGAUGGAAAAACAGGAAGACACAAUUGCCAGUAGAAAUUCUGUCCAGCUGGUCAGAGUUUUAUAAUGCACCAGAGUGAUGCAAGAUUAAUAGCACAGAAAACACACUCAGCAUCAUUCAAACAGGACGUUAAAUGUAACAAUUAAAGGACAGAAAGGAAGUGGCACAGUCAGAGACAGAGCUCAAAAGACAGCAGGAAGAGGUAUUGCAGUAUUGAGCUACCUACCUCAGCCUUGCAGAUUGCUAAAAUUACAGGUAUGUGCCUCACCUACAGGACAAUACUGAGCUAAAUCC